RNAcentral lists this ribosomal RNA (481 nucleotides) under uncultured bacterium. RNAcentral's name for it is "partial 16S ribosomal RNA". It matches the Rfam family "Bacterial small subunit ribosomal RNA", at positions 28 to 506 of the family's 1533-position model. The record is from RNAcentral.
GAUGAACGCUAGCGGCAGGCCUAAUACAUGCAAGUCGAACGAGAUUACGAGGCUUGCUUCUUAUGAAAGUGGCGCACGGGUGCGUAACGCGUAUGCAACCUACCUUAAUCAGGGGGAUAGCCCGAAGAAAUUCGGAUUAAGACCGCAUAAAAACACAGGAUAGCAUUAUCCAAUGUUCAAAUAUUUAUAGGAUUAAGAUGGGCAUGCGUGUCAUUAGCUAGUUGGCGGGGUAACGGCCCACCAAGGCGACGAUGACUAGGGGAUCUGAGAGGAUGACCCCCCACACUGGUACUGGGACACGGACCAGACUCCUACGGGGGGCAGCAGUAAGGAAUUUUGGUCAAGGGAGGGAACCCUGAACCCGCCCUCCCGGGUGCAGGAAGACCGCCCCUUGGGUCGUAAACUGCUUUUAUUCGGGAAUAAACCUUUCUACGUUUAGGAAGCUGAAUGUACCGAAGGAAUAAGGAUCGGCUAACUCCGU